CGGGGUGUAGCUCAGUGGUAGAGCGCGCGCUUUGGGAGCGUGAGGUCGCAUGUUCAAUCCAUGUCACCCCGACCA
RNAcentral lists this transfer RNA (75 nucleotides) under bacterium. Its description in RNAcentral is "tRNA-Pro". It matches the Rfam family "tRNA". From Rfam's summary of the family: Transfer RNA (tRNA) molecules are approximately 80 nucleotides in length. Their secondary structure includes four short double-helical elements and three loops (D, anti-codon, and T loops). The record is from RNAcentral.